GACGAACGCUGGCGGCGUGCUUAACACAUGCAAGUCGAACGGAAAGGCCCUGCUUUUGUGGGGUGCUCGAGUGGCGAACGGGUGAGUAACACGUGAGUAACCUGCCCUUGACUUUGGGAUAACUUCAGGAAACUGGGGCUAAUACCGGAUAGGAGCUACUGCUGCAUGGUGGGGGUUGGAAAGUUUCGGCGGUUGGGGAUGGACUCGCGGCUUAUCAGCUUGUUGGUGGGGUAGUGGCUUACCAAGGCUUUGAGGGGUAGCCGGCCUGGGAGGGUGACCGGCCACAUGGGGACUGAGAGACGGCCCAGAAUCGUACGGGAGGCAGCAGUGGGGAAUAUUGCACAAUGGGCGGGAGCCUGAUGCAGCAACGCUGCGUGCGGGAUGACGGCCUUCGGGGGGUAAACCGCUUUCGCAGGUGACGAAGCGUGAGUGACGGUAAUGGGUAAAGAAGCACCGGCUAACUACGUG
RNAcentral lists this ribosomal RNA (468 nucleotides) under uncultured bacterium. Its description in RNAcentral is "partial 16S ribosomal RNA". It matches the Rfam family "Bacterial small subunit ribosomal RNA", at positions 28 to 507 of the family's 1533-position model. The record is from RNAcentral.